GGGCCUGUAGCUCAGAGGAUU
Molecule: transfer RNA, 21 nt
Filed under: Anthoceros punctatus
Lineage: Eukaryota; Viridiplantae; Streptophyta; Anthocerotopsida; Anthocerotales; Anthocerotaceae
Description: partial tRNA-Arg
Source: RNAcentral